Molecule: RNA transcript, 3397 nt
Organism: Tetranychus urticae (two-spotted spider mite)
Lineage: Eukaryota; Metazoa; Arthropoda; Arachnida; Trombidiformes; Tetranychidae
Gene: fus
Gene name: epithelial splicing regulatory protein fusilli
Source: RefSeq, a predicted model, not a curated record
UUCUUCUCUCUCUUUUCUUCUCACUUAUUUUCUUCUUCUUUUGCUCUCUCUCUCUCUUCUUCUCUGUCGUUUGUCGUUAUCUCGAAUAGCGUAUCAUUAUGAACUUUUAUGUGACACCCUCUGAGCUCCGGUUCUCAGAUGCUAGUCAUGAGAGUAACAUUGCUUUAACCAAGGUAUCAUUAAAUCCGAGUAACCCUGUAAACUACCCUAGUCACCUUGUGCUUUAUCCGAGGAAUCAUCAUCAUCCCCACCAUCAAGAUCAGCAACUUUACCAAGACCAGAAACAAGUUAAACAAUCAACAAGUGAAUUUACAAGUUACUGUUCAAUUUGUUCAUCUUCAACUGGAAUAAACAGUUUAUUUUAUUCAAUGUGUAAGGUUAAAAGUGGUUGCUCGCCUAAAGAGGCUACAAAAAAUAAUAAUAUCGUUAAUAAUAGCAAUAAUAUUGCUAAUAGCCACAAUAAUCCAUCGCCAACGACGACAAUCAACAACAAUAAUAAUAAUAACAACAACAGUAACAUCAAUGGUAAUACCAACACCAACUGUAAUAGUAACUCUAGUAAUAACGUUAAUAGCAAUUUGAGUGUUUACAGCAAUCAUCCACAAUCCCCAACAAUAAUUUCAACAACAAAUCACAGUUAUCACCAUCAAUUUAAUAAUUGGAAAAAUUGUUCCAAUCGUUUUGUUGGUUAUUCCUAUCCUGCAGCAGCAGCCGCAGCAGCUGCAUCAGCGGCAGCGGCAGCAGCAAACUCUUAUGGACGACCUUUACCUUGUCCAUUUAUCAGUUAUUCACCCUCAGUGAUUUACCUACCUGUAUCUUAUCCGGCUCAUCCACCACCGGCACCAACUGUGACAUUACAGUCUUCACCACCAAUUCACCACCAUCACCAUCAUCACCCUCAACCGCCGCCACUGCCUUUUCAACCUCCUUCAUCCACUUCUUUAUCACCAGCCUCUGAUCCACCGCAACAUACUCCAUUUAAUAACUCUUUGUCAACUGGCCUUGUAAAUGUUGCUAAUUCAAAUUUACCAGCAAUUACAACAGCGACUGUAGUCCCGUCAACUGGAACAAUUAACUCUUGCUCGCCAUUAACGAAUCAAGUAUCAUCAGCAUCACCAUCACCUUCACCGACAAUUACACCAAAUAAUAAUAAUAAUAUUAACAACAGUAAUACUAAUAACAGUAGUAAUAAUAAUCCCUACAAUCAAAGUACACUUUGUACUAAUCCAAUUUACUCUACUUUGAUACCAAGUAAUAUUGUUACAAUAAGCAACACAACCAUCAAUAAUCACAGCCACAACAACAACACAUUCACCAAUAAUACCAACACCAUCAACACAAUUAUCAACAAUAAUAAUUAUAUUAAUGCAAAUGUUACCAAUUUCAACCACACCAACCAUAAUAAUAAUUUAAUCAAUACCAGUGAUAUUAAAUUAAUAACACCAAAUGAUCUGUCCCUAUCAUGUCCCAUAUUAGGAAAAAAUAAUGAAGCCUUCCAAUUCCUAUCCAAAGGAGCUCAAGUAAUUGUCCGAAUGCGAGGUCUUCCAUACGAUUGUACCGACCAGAAAGUGAUUGACUUCUUUGCUUCUGGUAAAAAUGGAUGUGAAGUUAUGGAUGGAACCGAAGGAGUUUUAUUUGUCCGUCGAGGCGAUGGUCGACCAACAGGCGAUGCAUUUGUACUCUUUGAAUCAGAAGAGAUGGCCAUUAAAGCUUUGCAUAAACACCGAGAAAGCAUUGGUUCAAGGUACAUUGAACUGUUUCGAAGCUCAACUGCCGAAGUUCAACAGGUUCUUAAUCGUGCAAUGGACUUUCGUUCUUCCUGUGAAACCAAUUCACUGAAUUUACCGCAAAUUCCGUUAAUUCCUCAUCAACUUCUUCCCUCUGGGUCAAGACGAGAUUGUAUUAGACUUCGAGGUUUACCUUAUGAAGCUCAAGUUGAACAGAUUCUUGAAUUUCUUGGUGAAUAUGCCAAUAACAUUGUCUUCCGUGGAGUUCACAUGGUUUAUAAUGCUCAGGGUCAACCUUCUGGUGAAGCAUUCAUCCAAAUGGACUCCGAACAAUCGGCAGCUCAAGCCGCAACUCAACGUCACCAUAAAUACAUGAGUUUUGGUAAAAAGCAAAGGUACAUUGAAGUCUUUCAAUGUUCAAUUGAUGACAUGAAUUUAGUUUUAACCGGAGGUGUUCCACUUCAACGGCAUUUACAAACUACAGGGACAAUAUUACCUUCACCAUACCGUGCUUAUCCAUACCUUGGCGGUGGCCCAGUGCUACCCGCCGGUACUGUGACUGCAGCUACAGCGGCCUUAACCACAGGAGCCGCUGGAGUCCAUCCAACCUCUUAUUAUCAUCCAAUAAUCUAUUGGCCUUAUCCAAGUCCUCCUGUUUCACCGACAACAUAUUAUACCCAUUCGGGUCCCACCAUGGUAAGAACCUGAGUGAGAUCAAGAAAUGAAAAGUAUGACAAGAAAGCACAGAGACUCACUUCACACUCAUCAUACUCAUUACAUUGGCCAACAUGCACCACACACAUUACUCUGUCCACUAUUAUAAGGCAACUAAUACAUGCUGCAACUACACAUAUUCAUGCAGACAGACAUUGACACACACGCCUUCAUCAUUUUUAAUAAUAUAAUAAUUAUUUAUAUUAUUGAUCCUUAUUAUUCCUCCUUCCAAAUCUCCAGAUGACCUCGGAAUGUAUCCAGAUACCUAGGAAUGGAGCCGGCGAUGGUCUGGUAACCUUUCCACCUCGAGUUGAGGCCGAACGUGCAAUUCAAGAGAAAAAUCGAGCCAACAUCGGUAACCGAUGUAUCGAGCUUUACCUGGCUUGACCAACCUGUUUCUCUCUCUCUAUCUAUUUCUCUAUCUUUCUCUAUCUCUCUCUCACUCUACCUCUCUAUUACUCUUCCAUCUAUGAUGAUCAACCAUGAUGAUCAAAUAUUAUAAUUAAUUUAACCAACAUAAUAUCCAACGAAAAACACCAAAAUAUCCAUACAUAAACAUUCCGUCCAUUUCUGGUGCUUUUGCAAAGAGCAUUGACAAUUUAUAAAUUUAUUCCCUCUCUCUCUAUCUCUCUCUCUUUUUUUCUCUCUUUGCCCACCUCAAAUGAUUAAAUGACCUUAAAGUGUAACUUAAAUUGUUCCCAAACAAUUAAUCAAUCCAAUUAUUGAAUUUUUGUCUCCUUUUUUUCUCUUCUUUUUGAUUCAUAUCUUAAAAAGCAAAAUAAUGAAAUUGAAUCUUUCACAUACAAAACCCAUUGCAGAGCAACAAAAACAAUUUCACACAUAAAACACACACACACUCAAAAAACACAUUGUAACUCUCAUUUUCUGGUUUCAUGUUACCAACAAGUGCCUAUGCUAAUAUAAUGCUUUAAUAAUAAUAACCAUUAUUAUAUUAA